Molecule: unclassified non-coding RNA, 218 nt
Filed under: Hevea brasiliensis (rubber tree)
Lineage: Eukaryota; Viridiplantae; Streptophyta; Magnoliopsida; Malpighiales; Euphorbiaceae
Source: RNAcentral
AUGGCGAAUACAGAUCUGUUCGAUGCAUAUUUCAAGAGAGCAGAUUUGGACUGCGACGGUCAGAUCAGUGGAGCUGAAGCCGUUGCUUUCUUUCAAGGUUCUGGUUUGCCCAAACAAGUCCUCGCUCAGGAAUUUUCGCUGAAGCAGGAGAAAAGCUGGUUUCCUUGGUCGUCAAGAGUUCUAUAAUGCUCUUAAGCUUGUUACUGUGGCACAAAGUA